RNAcentral lists this ribosomal RNA (254 nucleotides) under uncultured bacterium. RNAcentral's name for it is "partial 16S ribosomal RNA". It matches the Rfam family "Bacterial small subunit ribosomal RNA", at positions 524 to 776 of the family's 1533-position model. The record is from RNAcentral.
UACGGGGGGAGCAAGCGUUGUUCGGAUUUACUGGGCGUAAAGGGCGGGUAGGCGGCCACUGCAAGUCGGUUGUGAAAUCUCCGGGCUUAACCCGGAAAGGUCAAUCGAUACUGCAGGGCUAGAGUGCAGAAGGGGCAACUGGAAUUCUCGGUGUAGCGGUGAAAUGCGUAGAUAUCGAGAGGAACACCUGCGGCGAAGGCGGGCUGCUGGGCUGACACUGACGCUGAACUGCGAAAGCUAGGGGAGCAAACGGG